Molecule: non-coding RNA, 134 nt
Organism: Triticum aestivum (bread wheat)
Lineage: Eukaryota; Viridiplantae; Streptophyta; Magnoliopsida; Poales; Poaceae
Source: Rfam
CAAGUACUCCCUCCGUCCGAAAAUACUUGUCAUCAAAAUGGAUAAAAAAGAUGUAUCUAGAACUAAUAUACAUCUAGAUACAUCCCGUUGUAUUCAUUUUGAUGACAAGUAUUUCCGGACGGAGGGAGUACUAC